RNAcentral lists this transfer RNA (77 nucleotides) under Desulfobulbaceae bacterium. Its description in RNAcentral is "tRNA-Arg". It matches the Rfam family "tRNA". Rfam says of the family: Transfer RNA (tRNA) molecules are approximately 80 nucleotides in length. Their secondary structure includes four short double-helical elements and three loops (D, anti-codon, and T loops). Lineage: Bacteria; Pseudomonadati; Thermodesulfobacteriota; Desulfobulbia; Desulfobulbales; Desulfobulbaceae. The record is from RNAcentral.
GCACCAGUGGCUCAGUUGGAUAGAGCAACGGACUACGAAUCCGUAGGUCGGGAGUUCGAAUCUCUCCUGGUGCACCA